CCCAGACUCCUACGGGAGGCAGCAGUGGGGAAUAUUGGACAAUGGGGGGAACCCUGAUCCAGCGACGCCGCGUGAGUGAAGAAGUAUUUCGGUAUGUAAAGCUCUAUCAGCAGGGAAGAAAGAAAUGACGGUACCUGACUAAGAAGCCCCGGCUAACUACGUGCCAGCAGCCGCGGUAAUACGUAGGGGGCAAGCGUUAUCCGGAUUUACUGGGUGUAAAGGGGGCGCAGACGGCAGCGCAAGCCAGGAGUGAAAGCCCGGGGCCCAACCCCGGGACUGCUCUUGGAACUGCGCGGCUGGAGUGCAGGAGGGGCAGGCGGAAUUCCUGGUGGAGCGGUGAAAUGCGUAGAUAUCAGGAGGAACACCGGUGGCGAAGGCGGCCUUCUGGACUGCAACUGACGUUGAGGCCCGAAAGCGUGGGGAGCAAACAGGAUUAGAUACCCCGGUAG
This 449-nucleotide ribosomal RNA is filed under the name uncultured bacterium. Its description in RNAcentral is "partial 16S ribosomal RNA". It matches the Rfam family "Bacterial small subunit ribosomal RNA", at positions 330 to 793 of the family's 1533-position model. The record is from RNAcentral.